RNAcentral lists this ribosomal RNA (531 nucleotides) under uncultured bacterium. RNAcentral describes it as "bacterial SSU rRNA". It matches the Rfam family "Archaeal small subunit ribosomal RNA", at positions 723 to 1255 of the family's 1478-position model. The record is from RNAcentral.
AGUGAAUAGAUACCCAGGUAGUCCCAGCUGUAAACGAUGCGCGUUAGGUGUAUCGGUGACCACGAGUCACCGAGGUGCCGAAGAGAAAUCGUGAAACGUGCCGCCUGGGAAGUACGGUCGCAAGGCUGAAACUUAAAGGAAUUGGCGGGGGAGCACCACAACAGGUGGAGCCUGCGGUUUAAUCGGACUCAACGCCGGGAAACUCACCAGAUAAGACAGCUGAAUGAUAGUCGGGCUGAAGACUCUACUUGACUAGCUGAGAGGAGGUGCAUGGCCGUCGUCAGUUCGUACUGUGAAGCAUCCUGUUGAGUCAGGCAACGAGCGAGACCCACGCCAACAGUUGCCAGCUCGUCCUCCGGGAUGGAGGGGACACUGUUGGACCGCCUCUGCUAAAGAGGAGGAAGGAAUGGGCAACGGUAGGUCAGCAUGCCCCGAAUUAUCUGGGCUACACGCGGGCUACAAUGGGUGGGACAAUGGGUAUCGACACCGAAAGGUGAAGGCAAUCUCCUAAACCCAUCCUUAGUUCGGAUU